AGCGCCCGUGAGGCAGCAAGGCGGCCAUUUUGUCCCAGCAGCGAGAGGGAGAGUAUUCAUGCCCGAAAAACGAUGCUUCUCUCGGAGCAUGGAAUCCUCACCCGCGGGUUCCCUGUGGCCCCUCCCCAGGUGAG
Cyanistes caeruleus (blue tit) is the source of this 134-nucleotide non-coding RNA. The record is from RefSeq and is a predicted model, not a curated record. NCBI's taxonomy places the organism in Eukaryota, Metazoa, Chordata, Aves, Passeriformes, Paridae.